AUUCAUCAGGUUCUGCAAAUCUGCUCCAGUAAAACCCGGAGUUCUCCUUGCAACCUUCUCGUAAUCCACAUCCUUUCCAAUAGCCUUCCCUCUAGAAUGCACCUGCAAUAAACCGUACAACAUUAUUUCUCACAUUGUCCCCAUUGUUUCACUAAACCAAACAUGAUAAACAAGAAGAAACCUGAAGGAUCUUGACUCUUCCAGCUACAUCAGGCCUAUCCACUGUGACUUGUCUGUCAAAUCUACCGGGUCUCAACAAUGCGGAGUCAAGAACAUCAGGUCUAUUGGUUGCAGCCAACACAAUGACACCAGAAUUACCAGAAAAUCCAUCCAUCUCAGUCAAAAGCUGGUUAAUCGUCUGUUCCCUUUCAUCAUUUCCACCUCCCAUCCCAGCUCCUCUUUGCCUACCA
This 410-nucleotide long non-coding RNA is filed under the name Capsella grandiflora. RNAcentral describes it as "long non-coding RNA (CGRA_LNC001455)". Lineage: Eukaryota; Viridiplantae; Streptophyta; Magnoliopsida; Brassicales; Brassicaceae. The record is from RNAcentral.